UACACGCUGUGACUAGCAUAUCAAUAAGCGGAGGAAAAGAAACUAACAAGGAUUCCCUCAGUAACGGCGAGUGAAGCGGGAAGAGCUCAAAUUUGAAAUCUUGAAAGGUCACCUUUCACGAAUUGUAGUUUAAAGAAGUGUUUCCUGUUACGAUCGUAAUAUAAGUUCUUUGGAAUAGGACAUCACAGAGGGUGAGAAUCCCGUCUAUGAUUGCGAUUUGUAGCUUUGUGAUACACUUUCAAAGAGUCGGGUUGUUUGGGAAUGCAGCCCAAAACGGGAGGUAAAUUUCUUCUAAGGCUAAAUAUUGGCGAGAGACCGAUAGCGAACAAGUACCGUGAGGGAAAGAUGAAAAGAACUUUGAAAAGAGAGUUAAAUAGUACGUGAAAUUGUCAAAAGGGAAGCGUUUAACACCAGUGUUGUUUUCUGAAAAUCAACCUCUGUUAGCUUUAUGCAUGUUUGUUUAGACCUAAUCAGCUAUCUUGCAUGUUCCAUAGUUUGCAGUGGUGCACUUUUCAGUUUACAGGUCAACAUCAGUUUUUUUUACCGUAAAAAAGUUAAAGAAAGGUAGCUCAUGGCUCCGGUCGUGAGUGUUAUAGUCUUUCUCCUAUGCGGUAGGAGAGACUGAGGUCUGCAGUGUAGGCUAUUUGGCUAGAUACUCAGGUGCUAUGUGAUACCAUUUCAUAAACAACUUGUUGAUUAUGUUUUGUCUAUUGCAUACUCGCUUGUACUAUCAUACCUACGCUUAGGAUGUUGACGCAUGAGAUAUACGC
RNAcentral lists this ribosomal RNA (770 nucleotides) under uncultured Neocallimastigales. RNAcentral's name for it is "partial large subunit ribosomal RNA". It matches the Rfam family "Eukaryotic large subunit ribosomal RNA", at positions 22 to 645 of the family's 3401-position model. The record is from RNAcentral. Lineage: Eukaryota; Fungi; Neocallimastigomycota; Neocallimastigomycetes; Neocallimastigales.